CACGUAGUUAGCCGUGGCUUAUUCAUUGAGUACCGUCAUUUGUUUCGUCCUCAAUAAAAGAAGUUUACAACCCGAAAGCCUUCUUCCUUCACGCGGCGUUGCUGGGUCAGGCUUGCGCCCAUUGCCCAAUAUUCCCCACUGCUGCCUCCCGUAGGAGUCUGGGCCGUGUCUCAGUCCCAAUGUGGCCGGUCAACCUCUCAGUCCGGCUACUGAUCGUCGCCUUGGUGGGCCGUUGCCCCACCAACUAGCUAAUCAGACGCGAGGCCAUCUCAGAGCGAUAAAUCUUUGGCAGUCAGAGCCAUGCGACUCAACUGCUUCAUGCGGUAUUAGCACAAUUUUCACUGUGUUAUUCCCCUCUCCAAGGCAGGUUCCUCACGCGUUACUCACCCGUCCGCCACUAAGCAUUCCCUUCACUUGUCCGAAAACUCGAUCAGGGGUGCUCCGUUCGACUUGCAUGUGUUAAGCACGCCGCCAGCGUUCAUCCUGAGCCAGGA
RNAcentral lists this ribosomal RNA (494 nucleotides) under uncultured Oscillospiraceae bacterium. RNAcentral describes it as "partial 16S ribosomal RNA". The record is from RNAcentral. Lineage: Bacteria; Bacillati; Bacillota; Clostridia; Eubacteriales; Oscillospiraceae.